This 465-nucleotide ribosomal RNA is filed under the name uncultured bacterium. RNAcentral's name for it is "partial 16S ribosomal RNA". It matches the Rfam family "Bacterial small subunit ribosomal RNA", at positions 338 to 795 of the family's 1533-position model. The record is from RNAcentral.
CCUACGGGUGGCAGCAGUAGGGAAUCUUCCACAAUGGGCGCAAGCCUGAUGGAGCAACGCCGCGUGGAUGAAGAAGGUCUUCGGAUCGUAAAGCCCUGUUGUUAGAGAGGAAAGUGCGUGCGAGUAACUGUUCACGUUUCGACGGUAUCUAACCAGAAAGCCACGGCUAACUACGUGCCAGCAGCCGCGGUAAUACGGAGGUGGCAAGCGUUAUCCGGAUUUAUUGGGCGUAAAGGGAACGCAGGCGGUCUUUUAAGUCGGAUGUGAAAGCCUUCGGCUUAACCGGAGUAGUGCAUUGGAAACUGGGAGACUUGAGUGCAGUAGAGGGGAGUGGAACUCCAUGUGUAGCGGUGAAAUGCGUAGAGAUAUGGAAGAACACCAGAGGCGAAGGCGGCUCUCUGGGCUGUAACUGACGCUGAGGUGCGAAAGCGUGGGUAGCAAACAGGAUUAGAUACCCGAGUAGUC